CAGCCAUGACACUCCCCCUCCAGAUCACCAGAGGGCACCUUCACCCGAGUUUUGAAACUCUAUUUUGGUUAUGACACUCACUUCCUGUCUAGCUGCUAUACAAAGCACAUGGACGUUUUGUAGAUGUAAAGCUUUACAAUUUGCCCUACACAUUCAGUGUCUCUUCUACCACUUCUCCCUGACUCCAACUCGCUGCAGUAUACAACCAGUAAAAGGGAGAAAUCACGUUAGGAAUGCCAAAAGACUGAUGGUGAAAGUGAUGAACGGAGAUAAGGUUGAGGAGGAACCACACACACAGAUUGAAGAAGUGGCAAAGGCUGAUGAAGCAUGAGAGCUGAGUCAUACAGCGAGACAGACUCGGUUCCAGCAUGAUAAUGACCCUGUGCACAAAGCGAACUCCAUGAAGACAUGUUUUGCCAGUGUUGAAGUGGAAGAAUUUGAGUAGCCUGACCUCAGGGAUGAACUGGAACGCUGACUGCACCCCAGGCCUCUUCACCUGACAUCAGUGCCUGACCUCACUAAUGCUCCUGUGGCUGAAUGUGCAAAUCCCCACAGCUACACUUUAAAAUCUAGUGGAAAGUCUUCCCAGAAGAGUGGAGGUUAUUAUAACAGCAAAGGGGGACCUAAUCAGGAAUGGGAUGUUCAAAAAGCACAUAUGAGUGUGAUGGCCACAAACGUUUAGCCAUAUAUUGCAUGUAACAUUUAUGGAAGGAAUCUCAGGUGUCAGAGCUUUCUAACAGACAUGGUAGUUUGUGAAGUUUCCUAGUACAGGAAAGUCUCGUGGACAGAAGAGUUUAUGCUUUCUGGUUUCACAAUAAAAUGAUGAGCUGCAUUAUUUUUUUUAUUGAUAUAUUUUUAAGAGAGUGUAAGAGAGAGGAAGAGAUGCAGUUGAGGGUACAACUGGUUAUCUUUGCUGGAAGUGAUAACAGGAACUAACCUGUCUCAAGGAUGUUCCACAACAUUGAAUCUAACUAUAAAUUGUUAAAAAGCAUGACAUGUACUUCAUUAAUAAAUCAUAUAUUGUAAUGAUUGAAAAUUUGCUGUAGUAUUAGUGGAAUAACACACUCCAGACCAUGCAUUUAUAUAAAAAAAAUAAUAAUAAUAAACCACUCUGCAGUGGUAAUGGUAUAACACCACCCUGGCG
Pangasianodon hypophthalmus (striped catfish) is the source of this 1144-nucleotide long non-coding RNA. RefSeq lists it as uncharacterized. Lineage: Eukaryota; Metazoa; Chordata; Actinopteri; Siluriformes; Pangasiidae. The transcript has 3 exons. The record is from RefSeq and is a predicted model, not a curated record.